This 743-nucleotide ribosomal RNA is filed under the name Dissoconium sp. DS3. Its description in RNAcentral is "eukaryotic LSU rRNA". It matches the Rfam family "Eukaryotic large subunit ribosomal RNA", at positions 43 to 821 of the family's 3401-position model. Lineage: Eukaryota; Fungi; Ascomycota; Dothideomycetes; Mycosphaerellales; Dissoconiaceae. The record is from RNAcentral.
UCAAUAAGCGGAGGAAAAGAAACCAACAGGGAUUGCCCUAGUAACGGCGAGUGAAGCGGCAACAGCUCAAAUUUGAAAUCUGGCGCAAGCCCGAGUUGUAAUUUGUAGAGGAUGCUUCUGGGUAGCGGCCGGUCUAAGUUCCUUGGAACAGGACGUCACAGAGGGUGAGAAUCCCGUAUGUGAUCGGCCCGCGCCCUCUACGUAGCUCCUUCGACGAGUCGAGUUGUUUGGGAAUGCAGCUCUAAAUGGGAGGUAAAUUUCUUCUAAAGCUAAAUACCGGCCAGAGACCGAUAGCGCACAAGUAGAGUGAUCGAAAGAUGAAAAGCACUUUGGAAAGAGAGUUAAACAGCACGUGAAAUUGUUGAAAGGGAAGCGCUUGCAACCAGACUUGACGGCGGUGUUCCCCCGGGCUUCUGCCCGGGUCAUUCACCGUCUUCAGGCCAUCAUCGUCUGGGGCCGCCGGAGAAACCGUCAGGAAUGUGGCUCCCUCGGGAGUGUUAUAGCCUGUCGACAUGCGGCGUGCCCCGGGCGAGGUCCGCGCUUAGGCAAGGAUGAUGGCGUAAUGGUUGUCAGCGGCCCGUCUUGAAACACGGACCAAGGAGUCUAACAUCUAUGCGAGUGUUCGGGUGUCAAACCCCUACGCGUAAUGAAAGUGAACGGAGGUGGGAGCUUCGGCGCACCAUCGACCGAUCCUGAUGUCCUCGGAUGGAUUUGAGUAAGAGCAUAGCUGUUGGGACCCGAAA